RNAcentral lists this ribosomal RNA (253 nucleotides) under uncultured bacterium. RNAcentral describes it as "partial 16S ribosomal RNA". It matches the Rfam family "Bacterial small subunit ribosomal RNA", at positions 524 to 776 of the family's 1533-position model. The record is from RNAcentral.
UACGUAGGGGGCAAGCGUUGUCCGGAUUUAUUGGGCGUAAAGAGCGUGUAGGCGGCUUUACAGGUCCGUUGUGAAAACUCGAGGCUCAACCUCGAGACGCCGGUGGAAACCGUAAGGCUAGAGUCCGGAAGAGGAGAGUGGAAUUCCUGGUGCAGCGGUGAAAUGCGCAGAUAUCAGGAGGAACACCCGUGGCGAAAGCGGCUCUCUGGGACGGUACUGACGCUGAGACGCGAAAGCGUGGGGAGCAAACAGG